RNAcentral lists this ribosomal RNA (460 nucleotides) under uncultured bacterium. RNAcentral's name for it is "partial 16S ribosomal RNA". It matches the Rfam family "Bacterial small subunit ribosomal RNA", at positions 338 to 795 of the family's 1533-position model. The record is from RNAcentral.
CCUACGGGGGGCAGCAGUGAGGAAUAUUGGUCAAUGGACGAGAGUCUGAACCAGCCAAGUCGCGUGAGGGACGACUGCCCUAUGGGUUGUAAACCUCUUUUAUAAGGGAAGAAUAAAUGCUACGUGUAGCAUGAUGCCUGUACCUUAUGAAUAAGCAUCGGCUAACUCCGUGCCAGCAGCCGCGGUAAUACGGAGGAUCCGAGCGUUAUCCGGAUUUAGUGGGUUUAAAGGGAGCGUAGGGGGAUUGUUAAGUCAGUUGUGAAAGGUUGCGGCUCAACCGUAAAAUUGCAGUUGAAACUGGCAGUCUUGAGUACAGUAGAGGUGGGCGGAAUUCGUGGUGUAGCGGUGAAAUGCUUAGAUAUCACGAAGAACUCCGAUUGCGAAGGCAGCUCACUGGACUGCAACUGACACUGAGGCUCGAAAGUGUGGGUAUCAAACAGGAUUAGAUACCCUUGUAGUC